This 858-nucleotide long non-coding RNA is filed under the name Cricetulus griseus (Chinese hamster). Its description in RNAcentral is "lncRNA (ENSCGRG00015033509.1)". Lineage: Eukaryota; Metazoa; Chordata; Mammalia; Rodentia; Cricetidae. The record is from RNAcentral.
CUUAGCCUGGAGAGAUACAUAAGCAACAUUUAUAGGGGUGGUGGAGAGCAGCCGAAGCAAGAGAGGCCAGGAGAGGCUGGUGGUGAAAGUGCAGCCCAGUUGCAGCAGAGAUCCCAGCAUUUUGGAGUUGCCAGCGCCAUGGGAUGACCAUCAAGAACAGCAGCGGCAGUGGAAUGAAGCCGGCCGGAGCCCGGAAGACGAGCUGUGUGUGCUGCAGAGGUUGGAGCCAGAGAAGUGACCCAAGCUCCUUGGAGGAACCUCCCCCCCCAAAAAAAAAAUCGAGAUCACAUCUGAAAGUGACACAAGCUAGGGUCAUCAGAGAGGAGGGAGCCUCAAUUAAGAAAAUGUCUCCACAAGAUCAGGCUGCAGGCAAGCCUGAGGGCAGGUUUCCUUAGUGAUUGAUGAGGGAGGGCCCAGCCCACUGUGGGUGGAGCCAUCCCUGGUCCUGGGUUCUAAAAGAAAGCAGGCUGAGCAAGCCAUGGGAAGCAAGCCAGUAAGCAGCUCUCCUUCAUGGCCUCUGCAUCAGUCCCUACCUCCAGGUUCCUGCCCUGUUUGAGUUCCUGUCCUGACUUCCUUCAGUGAUGAACAGUUGUAGGGAGACACCGUAACCACACCUUCUAAGGGCUGGCUACAGGUGUGCUUGACCACGUCUGUCAGGGCAUGGUCAAGGGGUGUUCAGGAUGACCCAUGGGGGGUUCUUAAGGUGCUGCAGACACGUGGGAGCCCCUUCUCUCUGGCCUCUCUAGCUUGCUGCCUCUGGGCAUGCUCUGGCUUGCGCUUGACUGGUAUUUUCUGAAUAAAGGUCUUUUGGAUCUAUAAGCCAUCUCCAUCGGGUACAAACAGUGUUGUGGAAGUGUG